This 253-nucleotide ribosomal RNA is filed under the name uncultured bacterium. RNAcentral describes it as "partial 16S ribosomal RNA". It matches the Rfam family "Bacterial small subunit ribosomal RNA", at positions 524 to 776 of the family's 1533-position model. The record is from RNAcentral.
UACGGAGGGUGCAAGCGUUGCUCGGAAUUAUUGGGCGUAAAGGGUAGGUAGGUGGUCUCAUUUGUCUGGGGUGAAAGCCUUGAGCUUAACUCAAGAAGUGCCCCAGAAACGGUGAGACUCGAGUCCUGGAGAGGGUCGUGGAAUUCCCGGUGUAGCGGUGAAAUGCGUAGAGAUCGGGAGGAACACCAGAGGCGAAGGCGGCGACCUGGACAGGUACUGACACUCAACUACGAAAGCGUGGGGAGCAAACAGG